GACGAACGCUGGCGGCGUGCUUAACACAUGCAAGUCGAACGGAAAGGCCCUGCUUUUUUGGGGUGCUCGAGUGGCGAAGGGGGGAGUAACACGUGAGUAACCUGCCCUUGACUUUGGGAUAACUUCAGGAAACUGGGGCUAAUACCGGAUAGGAGCUCCCGCUGCAUGGUGGGCGUUGGAAAGUUUCGGCGGUUGGGGAUGGACUCGCCGCUUAUCAGCUUGUUGGUGGGGUAGUGGCUUACCAAGGCUUUGAGGGGUAGCCGGCCUGAGAGGGUGACCGGCCAAAUUGGGACUGAGAUACGGCCCAGACUCCUACGGGAGGCAGCAGUGGGGAAUAUUGCACAAUGGGCGGAAGCCUGAUGCAGCAACGCCGCGUGCGGGAUGACGGCCUUCGGGUUGUAAACCGCUUUCGCCUGUGACGAAGCGUGAGUGACGGUAAUGGGUAAAGAAGCACCGGCUAACUACGUG
This 468-nucleotide ribosomal RNA is filed under the name uncultured bacterium. RNAcentral describes it as "partial 16S ribosomal RNA". It matches the Rfam family "Bacterial small subunit ribosomal RNA", at positions 28 to 507 of the family's 1533-position model. The record is from RNAcentral.